RNAcentral lists this microRNA precursor (86 nucleotides) under Medicago truncatula (barrel medic). Its description in RNAcentral is "mir-156 microRNA precursor family". It matches the Rfam family "mir-156 microRNA precursor family". Rfam says of the family: This family represents the plant microRNA (miRNA) precursor mir-156. The record is from Rfam by way of RNAcentral. Lineage: Eukaryota; Viridiplantae; Streptophyta; Magnoliopsida; Fabales; Fabaceae.
GUGACAGAAGAGAGUGAGCACACAUGGUACUUUCGUGUAUGAUGUUUCAUUCUCGAAGCUAUGUGUGCUCACUCUCUAUCUGUCAC